This 467-nucleotide ribosomal RNA is filed under the name uncultured bacterium. Its description in RNAcentral is "partial 16S ribosomal RNA". It matches the Rfam family "Bacterial small subunit ribosomal RNA", at positions 28 to 507 of the family's 1533-position model. The record is from RNAcentral.
GACGAACGCUGGCGGCGUGCUUAACACAUGCAGUCGCACGGAAAGGCCCUGCUUUUGUGGGGUGCUCGCGUGGCGAACGGGUGAGUAACACGUGAGUAACCUGCCCUUGACUUUUGGAUAACUUCAGGAAACUGGGGCUAAUACCGGAUAGGAGCUCCUGCUGCAUGGUGGGGGUUGGAAAGUUUCGGCGGUUGGGGAUGGACUCGCGGCUUAUCAGCUUGUUGGUGGGGUAGUGGCUUACCAAGGCUUUGACGGGUAGCCGGCCUGAGAGGGUGACCGGCCACAUUGGGACUGAGAUACGGCCCAGACUCCUACGGGAGGCAGCAGUGGGGAAUAUUGCACAAUGGGCGGAAGCCUGAUGCAGCAACGCCGCGUGCGGGAUGACGGCCUUCGGGUUGUAAACCGCUUUCGCCUGUGACGAAGCGUGAGUGACGGUAAUGGGUAAAGAAGCACCGGCUAACUACGUG